GAUGAACGCUGGCGGCGUGCCUAAUACAUGCAAGUCGAGCGAACAGACGAGGAGCUUGCUCCUCUGACGUUAGCGGCGGACGGGUGAGUAACACGUGGAUAACCUACCUAUAAGACUGGGAUAACUUCGGGAAACCGGAGCUAAUACCGGAUAAUAUAUUGAACCGCAUGGUUCAAUAGUGAAAGACGGUUUUGCUGUCACUUAUAGAUGGAUCCGCGCCGCAUUAGCUAGUUGGUAAGGUAACGGCUUACCAAGGCAACGAUGCGUAGCCGACCUGAGAGGGUGAUCGGCCACACUGGAACUGAGACACGGUCCAGACUCCUACGGGAGGCAGCAGUAGGGAAUCUUCCGCAAUGGGCGAAAGCCUGACGGAGCAACGCCGCGUGAGUGAUGAAGGUCUUCGGAUCGUAAAACUCUGUUAUUAGGGAAGAACAAAUGUGUAAGUAACUAUGCACGUCUGGACGGUACCUAAUCAGAAAGCCACGGCUAACUACGUG
Molecule: ribosomal RNA, 497 nt
Filed under: uncultured bacterium
Lineage: Bacteria
Description: partial 16S ribosomal RNA
Rfam family: Bacterial small subunit ribosomal RNA
Source: RNAcentral